This 354-nucleotide ribosomal RNA is filed under the name Sigmatoneura kakisayap. RNAcentral describes it as "partial 12S ribosomal RNA". The record is from RNAcentral. Lineage: Eukaryota; Metazoa; Arthropoda; Insecta; Psocodea; Psocidae.
CCCUAUUAUAUUUAAUGAUUUAAAAUUUUUAGUAGUAAAUAUUAUGAAGGAAACUUAAAGAAUUUGGCGGUUUAUAUUCUAAUUAGAGGAAUAUGUUUUUUAAUUGAUAAUCCCCAUUAAUCUUACUUAAUUUUAUUUAUUUUGUAUACCUCCGUCUAAAAAAUUUUUUAAAAUAUUUUUUAUAUUUUAUGUAUUAGUAUAAGUCAGGUCAAGGUGCAGAGUAUAAUUAAGUUAAAAUGUAUUACAAUAAAUUUAUUUUUAGAUUAUAUUUUAAAUGUAUUAUGAAAUUGGAUUUAUAAGUAAAUUUUUUUUAAUUAUAAUUGAUUGAAUAAUGUUAAUAUAUAUGUACACAUC